CCCUUAGAUGUCCUGGGCCGCACGCGCGCUACACUGAUGCAUUCAACGAGUUUUACCUUGGCCGAGAGGCCUGGGCAAUCUUUUAAACCUGCAUCGUGAUAGGGAUAGAUUAUUGCAAUUAUUAAUCUUGAACGAGGAAUUCCUAGUAAACGCAAAUCAUCAAUUUGCAUUGAUUACGUCCCUGCCCUGUGCACACCGCCCGUCGCACCUACCGAUUGAAUGGUCCGGUGAAGCCUCGGGAUUGUGGCCAGUUCACUUUAUUGGGAGUUGGCUGUGAGAACUUGUCUAAACCUUAUCAUUUAGAGGAAGGUGAAGUCGUAACA
RNAcentral lists this ribosomal RNA (323 nucleotides) under uncultured eukaryote. Its description in RNAcentral is "partial 18S ribosomal RNA". It matches the Rfam family "Eukaryotic small subunit ribosomal RNA", at positions 1470 to 1796 of the family's 1831-position model. The record is from RNAcentral.